RNAcentral lists this ribosomal RNA (465 nucleotides) under uncultured bacterium. Its description in RNAcentral is "partial 16S ribosomal RNA". It matches the Rfam family "Bacterial small subunit ribosomal RNA", at positions 28 to 507 of the family's 1533-position model. The record is from RNAcentral.
GAUGAACGCUGGCGGCGUGCCUAACACAUGCAAGUCGAGCGGAGAAUUGUUGCUUGCACCAAUUCUUAGCGGCGGACGGGUGAGUAACACGUGGGUAACCUGCCCUAAACAAAGGGAUAACAAUGAGAAAUCAUUGCUAAUACCGUAUAAGCUUACACUAUCGCAUGAUAGAGUAAGAAAAGAUUUAUCGGUUUAGGAGGGGCCCGCGUCUGAUUAGCUAGUUGGAGAGGUAACGGCUCACCAAGGCGACGAUCAGUAGCCGACCUGAGAGGGUGAUCGGCCACAUUGGGACUGAGACACGGCCCAAACUCCUACGGGAGGCAGCAGUGGGGAAUAUUGCACAAUGGAGGAAACUCUGAUGCAGCAACGCCGCGUGAAGGAAGAAGGUUUUCGGAUCGUAAACUUCUAACUACAGGGAAGAAAAAAAUGACGGUACCUGAGUAAGAAGCCCCGGCUAACUACGUG